RNAcentral lists this unclassified non-coding RNA (1797 nucleotides) under Leishmania donovani. Its description in RNAcentral is "gene:unknown". The record is from RNAcentral. Lineage: Eukaryota; Euglenozoa; Kinetoplastea; Trypanosomatida; Trypanosomatidae.
CCUGCCUCUCGUCGCCACACGGCGCAGCACUCUGUGAGGUGCCGUUGCCUGCCGACCUCCACAUCGGCAACGUCGUCUCCCACAUCUCUGAACUCUCUCCCGCUUUGGAUUUUGCUCUGGCCAUCGUAGGCUCGAGAUGCUGCCGUGUCGGCGGUACUCCUUAGCGUAGGCGCGGGCGCCCACCGUCUUUGCCCCUCCCCCACACCCCCUUCGUCAGUCGUUGUGCGGAAGGAUGGGGAGGGGUGCUGCUGUGUGCGCCGAGCGCCGCCUCCUCGUCGGUGCAGCGGGCCCCGCGCACGUUCAUCGGGUGAGCAAAUGCUUCAUGUCUUGCGCAGAGAACGUCGCUCGCACAAGAAUCUUUACCAUAUUCAGCGGCGACGCCGCUGACAGGUAGAUCGAUGGAUAGGGGCGGGCGUAGUGUGCCUGACCGGCCACGGAGCACAGCUAUCCUUGCCUUCUUGCGAGUUGAUGCAAGCCUCUCAGGACUCCGCACGUGCUGCGCACUUCCCUCCUCCGCGCUCUUCUCGUCAAUCUCUGCGCACCCCUCAGUCCAUCACUUGCACGUUGUAUGUGGUCGAGCUUCACACACACGCGGAUGCCCUAGAUGUCGAGAGAGAGGGGAGGAAACGGAUCCGCGGUGUUGCUCAGCCGUCUGCUUCGCAUGCUCCGCGCAGUGCCCGUCGUAUCGGCUACUUUCUAGCGAUGCUCACUUAUGGUGGCGGAACUCGCGCGCGCCCGGAAAGACACUACCCGAUGGGCCUUCUCCUCCCCCCCCCCAGCCUUUGCCGUAUUCGCCACCUGGCGACAGAACGCUGACUUUCCGGUGAGAGUCAAAGUGGGAGUUGGCAGCCAGCUACAGGCAGGUCGCAUGCAUGUCCGCGAGCGAGGCGACCCGUUCAACGGGCAAACGAAUGCCCCUCACGUACCCGUUCCAAGGCAGACGUGGCUGGACCGAGCCCUUCCGUUUCGUCCAUGGCGCUUCUUUGGAAGCACUACGUUGAUGAACGCAACAGCGGGUGACACUCUCCCGUGCCGUCGAGGAAUGGAGCGCAGAAUACCCCCCGGGGGGGGGGGGGGGGGGGGGCGAAGCGCUUACUGCGGAGUCGAAGAACUGCACCGAAACACGCUCGGGUUCGCACGACAUCUCAGCCGGGAACGGGAGGCUCGAUGGCGGUGGACAAGACUUGACGAAAGGAAGGGAGAGACCGGCAGACACGAUCGUCUCCUUCCUUCUCUCAAACUAGCGUGAGCCAAGAUGCGAAGUAAGAGCAGCCCAUGUGGAGCAGUGCACGUAAGUUGAUGCAGUGCAGCGGAGAGAGCACUUGUGAUCUAUUCAGUUCCGUAAAGCGCGCCUCCUCGACGCGCACAAAUCACGCCAGGUCGGACCAACGAGGUGUCCAUGUAGGUCUGGCGCCGGGUCGAGCGAACGUGCUUUAGCUAUCCCGCCGUAGCCCCUCCCACCCCCCCACCCUCCCACUUUUACUGUCUCUGCAUUCCGCCGCCACCACUGCCGUCUCUCAAUCGCCCCAGCCGCGGUGCCGAUGAGAGGAGGGAGGAGAACGACACUCCUGUAUGUGUUCCCUAUUCCUCUAUGCGCACGAGAGGGCAACGCACACGAGGCGCUGCCGCUGUGCAGUAGAACUGCGUCGCUGGGCGCCUACGCACCUGAGCAACUGCUGCUGUCCCGACAACUGAACCAGGAAGACGCAGCAGCAACGGGUGAUCGUGCGCUCCCUGCAGAGAACCACCCGUUAACAUGUUGGUGUACAUGGCGUGCCCUCAGUCUUGAAUCGCGCG